ACGUAGGGUGCGAGCGUUAAUCGGAAUUAAUGGGCGUAAAGCGUGCGCAGGCGGUUUUGUAAGACAGGUGUGAAAACCCCGGGCUCAACCUGGGAACUGCAUUUGUGACUGCAAGACUAGAGUACGGUAGAGGGGGAUGGAAUUCCGCGUGUAGCAGUGAAAUGCGUAGAUAUGCGGAGGAACACCGAUGGCGAAGGCAAUCCCCUGGACCUGUACUGACGCUCAUGCACGAAAGCGUGGGGAGCAAACAGG
Molecule: ribosomal RNA, 252 nt
Filed under: uncultured bacterium
Lineage: Bacteria
Description: partial 16S ribosomal RNA
Rfam family: Bacterial small subunit ribosomal RNA
Source: RNAcentral